AAUAUUGCACAAUGGGCGCAAGCCUGAUGCAGCCAUGCCGCGUGUAUGAAGAAGGCCUUCGGGUUGUAAAGUACUUUCAGCGGGGAGGAAGGCGAUGCGGUUAAUAACCGCACCGAUUGACGUUACCCGCAGAAGAAGCACCGGCUAACUCCGUGCCAGCAGCCGCGGUAAUACGGAGGGUGCAAGCGUUAAUCGGAAUUACUGGGCGUAAAGCGCACGCAGGCGGUCUGUUAAGUCAGAUGUGAAAUCCCCGGGCUUAACCUGGGAACUGCAUUUGAAACUGGCAGGCUUGAGUCUUGUAGAGGGGGGUAGAAUUCCAGGUGUAGCGGUGAAAUGCGUAGAGAUCUGGAGGAAUACCGGUGGCGAAGGCGGCCCCCUGGACAAAGACUGACGCUCAGGUGCGAAAGCGUGGGGAGCAAACAGG
RNAcentral lists this ribosomal RNA (424 nucleotides) under uncultured bacterium. RNAcentral's name for it is "bacterial SSU rRNA". It matches the Rfam family "Bacterial small subunit ribosomal RNA", at positions 360 to 776 of the family's 1533-position model. The record is from RNAcentral.